Molecule: ribosomal RNA, 1786 nt
Filed under: Pinus taeda (loblolly pine)
Lineage: Eukaryota; Viridiplantae; Streptophyta; Pinopsida; Pinales; Pinaceae
Description: SSU rRNA
Rfam family: Eukaryotic small subunit ribosomal RNA
Source: RNAcentral
CCUGGUUGAUCCUCCCAGUAGUCAUAUGCUUGUCUCAAAGAUUAAGCCAUGCAUGUCUAAGUAUGAACUAAUUCAGACUGUGAAACUGCGGAUGGCUCAUUAAAUCAUUUAUAGUUUUUUUGAUGGUACCAUACUACUCAGAUAACCAUAGUAAUUCUAUAGCUAAUACAUGCACCAAGUCCCGACUCUUUGGAAGGGAUGCAUUUUUUAGAUAAAACGUUGGCGUGGGCUUGCCCACUUCUUGAGUGAAUCAUGAUAACUCGAUGGAUCACACAGCCCUUGUGUUGGCGAUGCUUCAUUCAAAUUUCUGCCCUAUCAACUUCCGAUGGUAGGAUAGAGGCCUACCGUGGUGUUGAUGGGUGACAGAGAAUUAGGGUUUGAUUCUGAAGAGGGAGCCUGAGAAACGGCUACCGCAUCCAAGGAAGGCAGUAGGUGUGCAAAUUACCCAAUCCUGACAUGGGGAGGUAGUGACAAUAAAUAACAAUACCGGGCUCAUCAAGUCUGGUAAUUGGAAUGAGUACAAUCUAAAUCCCUUAAUGAGGAUCCAUUGGAGGGCAAGUCUGGUGCCAGCAGCUAUGGUAAUUCCAGCUCCAAUAGCAUAUAUUUAAGUUUUUGCAGUUAAAAAGCUCGUAGUUGGAUCUUGGGUCGUAAAGGUCGGUCUGCCUACUCUGUGUGCACCUGCCCUUCCGUCCCUUUUGUCGGAAGCGUGUUCCUGGCCUUAAUUGGCUAGGUCGCGGCUUUGGCGCUAUUACUUUGAAAAAAUUAGAGUGCUCAAAGAAAUCUUAUGCUCUGAAUACAUUAGCAUGGAAUAAUGUGAUAGGAGUCUGGUCCUACUAUGUUGGCCUUCGGGACCGGAGUAAUGAUUAAUAGGGACUGUCGGGGGCAUUUGUAUUUCAUUGUUAGAGGUGAAAUUCUUAGAUUUAUGAAAGACAAACCACUUCGAAAUCAUUUGCCAAGGAUGUUUUCAUUAAUCAAGAAUGAAAGUUGGGGGCUCGAAGACGAUCAGAUACCGUCCUAGUCUCAACCAUAAAUGAUGCCGACCAGGGAUUGGCGGAUGUUGCUCUAAGGACUCCGCCAUCACCUUCUGAGAAAUCAGAGUGUUUGGGUUCCAGGGGGAGUAUGGUCGUAAGGUUGAAACUUAAAGGAAUUGACGGAAGGGAACCACUAGGAGUGGAGCCUGCGGCUUAAUUUGACUCAACACGAGGAAACUUACCAGGUCCAGACAUAGUAAGGAUUGACAGAUUGAGAGCUCUUUCUUGAUUCUAUGGGUGGUGGUGCAUGGCCGUUCUUAGUUGGUGGAGCGAUUUGUCUGGUUAUAACGAACAAGACCUCUGCUAACUAGCUACGUGGAGGUUCCCCUUUGCGGCCAGCUUCUUAGAGGGACUAUGGCCAUUUAGGCCAUGGAAGUUUGAGGCAAUAAUAGGUCUGUGAUGCCCUUAGAUGUUUUGGGCCACACGCACACUACACUGAUGCAAGCAACAAGUUUUUCUUCCUGGUUCGAGAGGAUUGGGAAAUAUUCUCAAAUUUCAACGUGAUGGGGAUAGACCAUUGAUGGUCUUCAAUGAGGAAUUCCUAGUAAGCAUGUGUCAUCAACUCGUGUUGACUACGUCCCUGCCCUUUGUACACACUGCCAGUCACUCCUACCGAUUGAAUGAUCCGGUGAAGUGUUCAAAUUGCGUCAACGAUGGUGGUUUGCCGCCGUCGACGUCGUGAGAAGUUCAUUGAAAUUUAUCAUUUAGAGGAAGGAGAAGUCAUAACAAGUUUAUCGUAGGUGAACCUGUGGUAG